Molecule: ribosomal RNA, 253 nt
Filed under: uncultured bacterium
Lineage: Bacteria
Description: partial 16S ribosomal RNA
Rfam family: Bacterial small subunit ribosomal RNA
Source: RNAcentral
UACGAAGGGGGCUAGCGUUGCUCGGAAUCACUGGGCGUAAAGCGCACGUAGGCGGAUUGCUAAGUCAGGGGUGAAAUCCUGGAGCUCAACUCCAGAACUGCCUUUGAUACUGGCGAUCUUGAGUCCGGGAGAGGUGAGUGGAACUCCGAGUGUAGAGGUGAAAUUCGUAGAUAUUCGGAAGAACACCGGUGGCGAAAGCGGCUCACUGGCCCGAUACUGACGCUCAUGUACGAAAGCGCGGGGAGCAAACAGG